UGGGGAAUUUUGGACAAUGGGCGCAAGCCUGAUCCAGCAAUGCCGCGUGAGUGAAGAAGGCCUUCGGGUUGUAAAGCUCUUUUGUCAGGGAAGAAACGGCUGCGGCUAAUAUCUGCGGCUAAUGACGGUACCUGAAGAAUAAGCACCGGCUAACUACGUGCCAGCAGCCGCGGUAAUACGUAGGGUGCAAGCGUUAAUCGGAAUUACUGGGCGUAAAGCGUGCGCAGGCGGUUUUGUAAGUCUGACGUGAAAUCCCCGGGCUCAACCUGGGAAUUGCGUUGGAGACUGCAAGGCUGGAGUCUGGAAGAGGGGGGUAGAAUUCCACGUGUAGCAGUGAAAUGCGUAGAGAUGUGGAGGAACACCGAUGGCGAAGGCAGCCCCCUGGGUCAAGACUGACGCUCAUGCACGAAAGCGUGGGGAGCAAACAGGAUUAGAUACCCUGGUAGUCCACGCCCUAAACGAUGUCUACUAGUUGUCGGGUUUUAAAUUAACUUGGUAACGCAGCUAACGCGUGAAAGUAGACCGCCUGGGGAGUACGGUCGCAAGAUUAAAACUU
RNAcentral lists this ribosomal RNA (556 nucleotides) under uncultured bacterium. Its description in RNAcentral is "partial 16S ribosomal RNA". It matches the Rfam family "Bacterial small subunit ribosomal RNA", at positions 355 to 902 of the family's 1533-position model. The record is from RNAcentral.